This 636-nucleotide long non-coding RNA is filed under the name Sus scrofa (pig). RNAcentral's name for it is "lncRNA (ENSSSCG00035060662.1, ENSSSCG00070006197.1)". Lineage: Eukaryota; Metazoa; Chordata; Mammalia; Artiodactyla; Suidae. The record is from RNAcentral.
CCUCUCCGGCCUCCCCCUACGGGGUUCUUCUCCUCAAGCUGGAAAAGUGCUUCUAGACUCAGCUCUCACCGGCUCAAGCAACCGAGAAAGAGUCUUCCAGAGUUAUUUGGUGGUGAAACCUUCUUUCCCAGACAUCUGUCUGCAUGGGACUCCAUGUAGAAGAGGAGCUGUAUUGACUGCCUGGAAGCAAUGCCAUGGCUAGAUUCAGGUUUUAAUAUAAACUCCGUGGCUCCUGUGUGGAGCGGAUUCAGAAGAUGCAGUAACAAUUGCCAAAGCAUGUUUGUAGCCAUCUUCAGCUCAGGUUUUCUUCUGUCUGACCUGAAUGCCAGUCUUGUGAGUCCUAUCUUCAGAGAUCUCUGAAAACAGCCCAGUGUCAAAGCCAAAAUUGUACACACCAAAGGCGGUGCAGCUGAACACUCCAACGGUGAGAUUACAGUGGUCCUGCUGGUUGUACAGGGCUUCCUUGAAAACAGUGGGUUGGAAGGGCUUUGGAAAGGGUUCACUCAGCUUCACAAAAAAAGGCAGAUUUUGGUGCUGAUGGACACUUCUCAAUAGCUUCAGGUAACCCUCUUAGUCCCAUUUUUCCUGGAUAACCUUGAGGACCUAUGGUCAGGAUAUACAGACAAAGGAAGGAAG